Molecule: long non-coding RNA, 675 nt
Organism: Ipomoea nil (Japanese morning glory)
Lineage: Eukaryota; Viridiplantae; Streptophyta; Magnoliopsida; Solanales; Convolvulaceae
Exons: 4
Source: RefSeq, a predicted model, not a curated record
UUUGACUAAAAAUUAUCGUGAGCUUUUCACACUUUCUAGAUUCCUAAACUUCAUAUUUCACUCUCUACCAUCCUCAUCUAAUCUCUCUACUUCAUCUCUGCAAACUUAAUCUCUACGUCGUUCACGCACUCCGAGCUCCAUCAUCGGUCGCCAGUCCAGGCUCCAGCCGCACCCCACCGGUCACGCCACUACCUUCAUGUUACUACGAGAUCCAUCGUUUGGUUCUGCUCUUUGCUCUUUUUUUCUUCGAUUUUUGCAGUUCUCAAUGCCAGCGAUGGAGAUGUCGAUCGGGUUUACAAGUGUGGGAAUGGAUGCAGCUUGUGGAGUUAAAGUAAUCAGAGCCUUUGACAUUUCAGCUUGAGCAUUCCUCAGAAGUUGGAUACUUCUAAAUGUGGAGAUUUUGCCAUGAAUUAACUUGGAUUUGGUCUUGUAGAUGUCUUCAUGGGUAUUCACCAAGUUUUGACAACUUAGUUAAUGAUCUCAGGGGGGCAAGGGCAUACCAAAAUUUGAAGGGAAUAUUGCAUAUCUAGAUGCACUCAUCAAAUAAGACCUUCUUCUCAAGACAAAGGACCUUCAAAGUGCCGACCUCAAUAGUUUUGAUGAACGAAUUAUUAUCCAUCUUUAUGUGCAUAGAAUUGUAUACAUUCCCGUGUCUAGUCUGGUCGUAUUUAAAAA